Molecule: long non-coding RNA, 1445 nt
Filed under: Marmota monax (woodchuck)
Lineage: Eukaryota; Metazoa; Chordata; Mammalia; Rodentia; Sciuridae
Source: RNAcentral
CAGAAUCAAAAUUUGGAUUUUUUUAAGUCAAAUAUAUUUAUUCUUCACUCAUUAAUGAAAUAUUUAAAGACAUAUCUUCUGUUUUGUAGUAAUUGUGCAAAAUUUUAGAGAUAUAGGAGGAAAUGCAAAUUUUCAUAGUUUUGUGAGAGAGAAGUUAGGAACAACUCCACAGAGGCGGUAAGAAGUCUUGAUAAAAUAGAAGUAACUGAAGUUCAUUUGAGAUGUAAACUCAGAAGAGAGCAAACAGCCAGGUGUGGCUGAAUAUAAGGAUCUUGAAGGAGAAUAAGCAGUACAUUAAGCCAAAAUGACAGUAUGCACCAGGUGGCAUCAGUCAAGAUAGCUCUUUGGAGUGGUUUCAAUGCCAACCUGGUAGAUCAAUGGAUCCGUGAUUCUCAAGAAAGGAUGUAUGUAUGCACCACAGUUGGAGAGCAUGCUACCUCUUCUCCACCAUAGAUAUCCUCACCAUAGUCAGGCACAAAUAUAGACUUAAAAAUUCUUUGGAGUAUCUUUAAGUAAGAAAAUGCAAAUAGGCAAUAGAUACCAUCUAAAGAUUUUAAACAGGCAAAUAACUUGUCAUGGUUAUAUUUUUUUAAUAGAAAGCCUCAAACAUAUACAAAAGUAGGAUUAAUCAUAUAAAGAAUUCCCAUGUAACAUGUCAAAAAUUAUCAACUCAUGGACAAACUGUUUUCAUCUUUAUACCCACUCACUGAUCCUUUACAUAAUAUUUUAAAGCAAAUCACAUCAUGUUCUGCAUAAUACCUAGUUGUAUAUGCAUCCUUGAAAGAGGAAGAUUUUUAAAGCAAAACCACAAUACUUUAUUUUAUCUUAAAAAAACCCAAACAAUCCCUUAACAUCAGAUAUUCAGUGUUUUAGCCUGGUAGGGUGGCACGCACCUGUAAUCCUAGUGACUUUGGAAGCUAAGACAGGAGAAUUGCAAGUUUGAUGCUAGCUUGAGCAAUUUAGAGAGACCCUGUCUCAAAAUAAAAAUAAAAAGGGCUGAGAGGUAUAGCUCAGUGGUAAAGUGCCCCUUGCUUUAAUCCCCAGCAACCACCCCUAAUCUAGUGUUUGAAUUCUCCAUGGUCUCAUAAUUAUUUUAAAGUUUGAUUGAAUCAGGAUCCCAAUAGGGCCCACAUCCUGCAAUUGGUUGACAUGUUACUUGAAUUUCUUUUCAUCUGUAGGUUCCUUUCUCCUUCACUCUCCCCCAACAUAGUUCUUGUAAUUCAUGGGCAGAACAGGAUCUUUUGUCGAGAGCUUUUGACAGGCCAUACUCUUAUCCGCUCUGGCAAUCUGCCUUUGGGCUACUAUAAUAUGGACCUCUCCAUAUAUUUCAAAGAGGAAGAACUCAAUGGAGAUGUCCAGUGGGAGCUCACUCAUUCACUCCAUGAAAUUUAAGUAAAAUCUGCAUAUGUAAAUAUGUGUUUUCAGAAUCCACAGUUUUUUCAUGA